Long non-coding RNA from Ahaetulla prasina, 995 nucleotides. RefSeq lists it as uncharacterized. The transcript has 3 exons. Lineage: Eukaryota; Metazoa; Chordata; Lepidosauria; Squamata; Colubridae. The record is from RefSeq and is a predicted model, not a curated record.
AUAGGGCUGUUUAUUUGUGGGACUGCCUGCCCCCAAAUAAUUUUGUCUACCCUACUGGAUUUGAGAGAGCUGGCAGACUCCGUGUCUCUUCUUUGAAGGAAUGUGUUAUAACAUUUGUUAUAACAUGUGUCCUAUAAAAGUUUAUAUCCCUCCAUUCCAAGAAAUUCAGAGAAUCUCAACCUUAUUGACUUGUCAAAGUGUACUGAAUACCUGCCUGUUCGAGUGGGCAUUGGACCAAGCUAUUCAGUGAGUUCUAUUCAUCUUAACGGACACUUUGUAGAACUUGAAGAACCAAAUAAAAGACUUCCUGUGGCUCUGCUGGUUGUUGAGGAUGGUCUUUUUAGACCGCCAGACCUGGAUCGCGUAGAGCUGCUAAGACAGCGAAAAUCAGCUGUCUAGCAGCUUGGAAACCUUUCCCCUGGGUGAAGAGGGAGGUAGAGCUUCCCCAAAAGCACCAGGAAUGAUCCUGGAGGCUUGAAGGGAAGAGCUACCUUGGUAACCCAAAGAGCUCCGGAUCCAGGAUGCCUCUGUCUUUUUUGGCAGAGCAAAACGCUGAGAUCACAUCUGCAAUCAAUAUUGAGUUUAAAUGGAUUUUUGACUUAACCAGACAGAGCAAUGUCAGGAGGCAAGUUAGAUGUAAGUACCAGACUUCAACCCCAUGUGUGGAUUCCGUUUGAGAAGAAAGGAAAUGGUGUCUGAGUAUAACGGGCGUGAAAGUCAAAGAGGUAGGUAUGGUGAAUUGAAGAUGCCUCCACAAAAGCAGAGCUGAUGACCUCAGCAAAGACUAAGGAACCUGUCUGGAUAGGAAGAAGAUGGAAGGUCACCCACCUGCUCUGGACCACUGCUGCUCACUAGCAAACUGCAGGACAGUAAUUUAGAUCUAAGAAAGUUGUAAACAGAUUAAGAGUCCAGAUAAAUUUUGUCUGGGUACAUUUUUUGUGCAAUAACCAUUAAAAAUCAACCAUGUUCAUUAUUUAUCUAUUUUUGACACACUG